This 119-nucleotide ribosomal RNA is filed under the name Trichobilharzia regenti. The record is from RNAcentral. Lineage: Eukaryota; Metazoa; Platyhelminthes; Trematoda; Strigeidida; Schistosomatidae.
GUCGGCGACCAUACCACGUUAAAAACAUGGGUUAUCGUCCGAUCAUCGAAGUUAAGAAACUUUGGGCCCGGUUGGUAUUUGCAUGUUUUAUCGGCUGAGAAUAACAGGUGUUGCCGGCU